RNAcentral lists this ribosomal RNA (379 nucleotides) under uncultured bacterium. Its description in RNAcentral is "bacterial SSU rRNA". It matches the Rfam family "Bacterial small subunit ribosomal RNA", at positions 31 to 430 of the family's 1533-position model. The record is from RNAcentral.
GAUAACGCUGGCGGCGUGCCUAACACAUGCAAGUCGAACGAUCCCGCAAGGGAGGGUGGCGGAAGGGUGAGUAACACGUGGGAAUCUACCUCCUCGCAGGGGAACAACCUCUCGAAAGAGAGGCUAAUACCCAAAGGGUCAGAAAUGGUCAGAGUCGAAAGGCGUGAGGAGAGGAGCCCGCGGCCCAUCAGCUAGUUGGUGAGGUAAUGGCUUACCAAGGCUACGACGGGUAGGGGAUCUGAGAGGAUGUCCCCCACACUGGAACUGAAACACGGUCCAGACGCCUACGGGUGGCAGCAGUGAGGAAUAUUGGACAAUGGGCGGAAAAGCCCGAUUCCAGCAACGCCGCGUGGAGGAUGAAGGCCUUCGGGUCGUAAAC